Molecule: ribosomal RNA, 919 nt
Filed under: uncultured bacterium
Lineage: Bacteria
Description: bacterial SSU rRNA
Rfam family: Archaeal small subunit ribosomal RNA
Source: RNAcentral
UUUCCGGUUGAUCCUGCCAGAGGUCACUGCUAUCGGUGUUCGACUAAGCCAUGCGAGUCAAAUGUUCUUCGUGAACAUGGCGUACUGCUCAGUAACACGUGGAUAACCUGCCCUUAGGUCUGGCAUAACCCCGGGAAACUGGGGAUAAUUCCGGAUAGAUCAUCGAUGCUGGAAUGCGCUUUGAUCCAAAGCUAUUGUGCCUAAGGAUGGGUCUGCGGUCUAUCAGGUUGUAGUGGGUGUAAUGUACCUACUAGCCUACGACGGAUACGGGUUGUGGGGGCAAGAGCCCGGAGAUGGAUUCUGAGACAUGAAUCCAGGCCCUACGGGGCGCAGCAGGCGCGAAAACUUUACAAUGCGGGGAACCGCGAUAAGGGGACACCGAGUGCCAGCAUCCUAUGUUGGCUGUCCAUAUGUCUAAAUCACAUGUGUUAGCAAGGGCCGGGCAAGACCGGUGCCAGCCGCCGCGGUAACACCGGCGGCCCGAGUGGUGGCCACUAUUAUUGGGUCUAAAGGGUCCGUAGCCGGUUUGGUCAGUCUUCCGGGAAAUCUGACGGCUCAACCGUUAGGCUUUCGGGGGAUACUACCAGGCUUGGGACCGGGAGAGGUAAGAGGUACUACGGGGGUAGGAGUGAAAUCUUGUAAUCCCUGUGGGACCACCAGUGGCGAAGGCGUCUUACCAGAACGGGUCCGACGGUGAGGGACGAAAGCUGGGGGCACGAACCGGAUUAGAUACCCGGGUAGUCCCAGCUGUAAACUAUGCUCGCUAGGUGUCAGGGACGGUGCGACUGUUUCUGGUGCCGCAGGGAAGCCGUGAAGCGAGCCACCUGGGAAGUACGGUCGCAAGGCUGAAACUUAAAGGAAUUGGCGGGGGAGCACUACAACGGGUGGAGCCUGCGGUUUAAUUGGACUCAACGCCGGA